RNAcentral lists this ribosomal RNA (1041 nucleotides) under Callispa bowringii. RNAcentral describes it as "16S ribosomal RNA". The stretch from base 647 to 1006 matches the Rfam family "Archaeal large subunit ribosomal RNA", at positions 2150 to 2716 of the family's 2987-position model. Lineage: Eukaryota; Metazoa; Arthropoda; Insecta; Coleoptera; Chrysomelidae. The record is from RNAcentral.
CUCGAAUCAAUAAGAGCUAAGUUUUUAUUUAUUUUAAUGUUGAAUAAUUAUUUUAAAUAAUAGCUUGGAAAUGAAAUGUUAUUCGUUUAUUAAUAUAUCUGGUUUUCUUAGAAAUAAAUUUAAUUUAGGUGAUAAUUUUUUACUAUUAUAAUUAUUUAUUUAAUAAAAAUAUUAUCUAAUUCUCUUAGGGUUUAGCUUAAGAGAAUAUUAUUAAUUGGAUUGUUAUUUUGCAGAUAAAUAGGGUUAGAACUUUCUUUUUAUAUAAUUAUUUUACAAUUUUUCUGCUUGUUAUAAUAUUUAUUAGGUAAUAAUUAUUUAUAAGAAUUUUUAAUUAAAUUUUAUAAUUAAAUUAUUAAUGAUUGAAUUAGUAAAAGUUAUUUUAUACAGUAUUAAUUAAAUGUUAAUUUUAUAUUAAUAAUUCGGCAAUUGGUUUUUCACCUGUUUAUUAAAAACAUGUCUUUUUGAUAAUAAUUUAAAGUCUGGCCUGCCCAUUGAUUAAUUUAAAGGCCGCAGUAUUUUGACUGUGCUAAGGUAGCAUAAUCAUUAGUUUCUUAAUUAGGAGCUGGAAUGAAGGGUUGGAUGAAAAAACAUCUUUUUUAUACAAAAAAUUUGAAUUUUAUUUUUAAGUUAAAAAGCUUAAAUUUUUUUAUGGGACGAGAAGACCCUAUAGAGUUUUAUUAAAGUAAAUAAUUUUUAAUUUAGAAUUAACUAAAGUUAUUGUAUUUAAUUUGAUUGGGGUGAUUAAUAAAUUUUAUAAACUUUAUUUUUUAUAAUUCAAUUAUUUUUGAUUUUUUGAUCCUUAUAAAAGAUUAAAAGUAUAAAUUACCUUAGGGAUAACAGCGUAAUUUUCUUUUAGAGUUCUUAUCGAAAGGAGAGAUUGCGACCUCGAUGUUGGAUUAGAAUUAAUAAUUGGUGUAGCCGCUAAUUUAUUAGGUCUGUUCGACCUUUAAAAUUCUACAUGAUCUGAGUUUAGACCGGCGUGAGCCAGGUCGGUUUCUAUCUAUAAUUAGUUAAAAGUUUUUAGUACGAAAGGAUUAAGAU